CACAGGCAGAGGCCAGAAUAGUUUUGAAGUGAAUACUGAGAAAAAUCCAGGAUUUCUGUGAGUCAGGCAUCUGGGUCAGAAGACAAGAAUUUCCAGGGGAAGUCCUCAGUCAUCCUGGUGCUUCCCCAAGUGAUGGUGGGAAUCUGACACUCAGAGGGAAUGAAGGGAACUGGAGGAAGAGCCAUCCUUGAGACAGUACAGCAAAGGACUUGGCUGAGUUAUGUCUCUGUCCUAAAACUUCUGGGAAGGCAGGAUUUAAAGCCCUGAACUAGGGAAGUUGGCUGAAGAAAUCUCUUAUGUGUUCGAGAGAGCAAGAUGCUGAGGCUACAGAGCUGAGAGAAACAAACUCCCAAGUAAAAAAGAGGAGAUAUCAUAAGGGUACCAAGUCAUAAUGUACUCACAGCCAAGUCUAGUGAUGAAGGCCCCACAUUGACAAAGAAAUACAAAGAAGCAACUACCAGGGCCUAAUGUAGCUUACUAAGAAUGGACGCUCAGCUGCCAUGGAAACAAAGCAAGUAGCAUCCUCUGGGACCAGCAAAAUACCAAAGUCCUUACUUCCUUAGGCCAGGGAGUUUGUCACCCAAUGGACUACAGAAGCCUAUCCAGUUGAAUAAGCUGUGGCCUCCUCUCUCCGGCCGACAGAGAACAGGUCAGGACUCUUCAUCCUGCUCUGAGACCUGAAGGAAACAUUCCCAAGUUCAUGUAUAAAGAGAAGAAUAUGCAGCAUGUAUGUCUAAUCUCCCCCUCAAGGCGACACACUUGAAAACAGAAAUCAAGAUUUAUCUCUCUAACUGUAAUCAUUCUAAAAGCCAGACAGAAUUAAUAGUGUUUCAUUUUGGGGGGAAAUUGUCUAAAGUUAAUAUAAAUUACUUAGGCUAUUAUUGAAAAAUCACAUAUAUAAAUCUGAUGUUUCUCUCAGGAUUGUGUUUGCAGAUUUAUAGACCCUAUGUAAUAUAAAUGAGAAUGAGGAAACAACGAUCUUAUUCAAUAUUCUCAUGCUGCACACAGUAAAUGGUCUAUAUCCACACCACUUUCUCUUUGCUCAGGCCACUCUGGCCUGCAGCUGCUCUCUGAAUCUACCAGGUUCUGUCCUGCGAUCCCUAAGUGGUGUAGCACAGGCUUUCUCUCGGAUGGAAGCCCUUUCAAUGUCCCUCCUUGUGAGUGACCUCCCUGAUUGCCUACUCAGCAUCACCCUCACCUCCAAACUCUCGCAGGUGUCCAAGCCCUUCGCUAUGGCUCAGCUCCAUCUGCCUGGGACAGCUUGGGUAUCACUACUAAAUUGCUUCAGAGGAACAUUUUGGAUUUUGUAUUCUUUCAGAUGUUGUAACAUUUUCAUUCACAUAAUGAGACGUCUUGGGAUGAAAACCAAGCCUAAGCAUGAAAUUCAUUUAUGUAUCACAUAUGCAUACCUGAAAUGUUAUAUAAUAUUUUUAGUGUGAAUAUAUUUUGACUAGGCCUGUCACAUCAAGUCAGGUAUAGAAUCUUUCCAUUUGUGGUCUCGUGUUAGCACUGAUGAGAACAUUUUCUAUUUCAGGACAUUUCAAAUGUCUCAUUUCUGAGUUAGGGAUGCUCAACCUGAAAUAGCCUUCGCUGGUUUUCCACUAGGCAGAGCUGCCCGAUAGGUGUGACUUAUGCAGCCACAUACAGCCCUACCCUCUAAGGAUCUACUCUUGGUUAUGCUCUGCCAUCACCCUUUUGAAUGCGUACUGCAUGAGGUCCAUCGGGAAACAGGAACAUGUGGCCAACGGAGCAGUUCACGUGUCCACUGUUCCUUUCUACCUCAUUUGCAUGUGGCUUUCUCAGUGUCCUAUGAAAAUAGAAUUCCAAAACAUGUGAAAGAUGAGUGAGACUCAAAGCCAAGUGCAUUUGUGAGUCAGCAGUGAGUAAGUACACUGACAGCCCCAAGAGGACAGAAAAAAAGGCAACUACAUUCUAAAUAGGAGCUAACUACCUAUCCCAGAUAGCAGGACGCAGAAAGAAAGCUGACACCACUUACAAUUCACUUUCCUUUUUUAUCAAGGUAGAAAAGUAGCAGGUAGAAUAUGGACAUCCCAUGGGGUGAAAUAAAACAACUGAUUGUUUGGGGUAGCAUUUUCACUGCAUAACUUUAGGGAUUCCAUAUGCAAGUUUAGAGGCCCCAUGUGAACAUUUAAAAAAAAAAAAAAACAAGCAUUGCAUAAUAUAAAAAUGAGAGUAAAUUUCAAAAUCAUUACUUAAUAUUUAAAAUAUUCUCCACACUGAAUUAUACUGAACAACAAAUUUUAAAAACGACCAUAAAUGAAGAGUCUGCAGAAAUACUGGUACUGUUUCCUGAAUUUUGAAUGAAGGGCUUCAGGCUUUCACUCUGCAUUGGAUCCAGCUAAUGAGACAGUGAGCCUGCCACUAUGACAGGAAUGUUCAGAACACAGGGCCUCUGCUUCAAGAACAGAUCUAUGUAAGUGUCGUACACAAUACCAUUUUGCGCUCGUUCAAUUUCAUUAAGUGUUUAUUAGACAUGAGGAAGAUGCAAUAAUACCAAAAGACCUUAGAAGCCAAGAAAACUCUUGUCCCCUUUUCUGCUCUGUGGGGGAUGUACCAUAGCCACAGAGCUACAUUUAGACAGGGGCAUAGACAAGGACCCAUCAGAGAACACCCGGGUCAAACUGGGUCCUAUGUUUGUUAGCUAUGUAAUCAAACAGAAGGGAAUGAACCCUGGUGAGUCUCAAUUUUCACUUUUGGGAAACACGGAUAAUAAAGCAUGUCAAAAGAUGAGGAAAGUGGAAGGCAAUUUGGAAAUAAGCUUGCUGUACAUUAAGUGUUUGUGUUUCAAAAGCUACCAGGUCUCUACAAAAGAUUAGCGGGAUAGCGGGUGGCCUCUCAGCAAGACCUGGGGAAGACAAGACGACCUAGGAGGAACAGAAACAACAAGGUCUACCAGUUGGAUGUCUGACACAGAAAACAUUUAAGAAUGAGUGUAAGGCUGUCUCCUUGUCACAUGCACCAGCGUUGCUAUCUGCCUCCAAGCUCCUUCCUGGAGGACUUCCCACCACCUUGGACCACAGAGCAAUGGCAGAUGCCUGCAAAUCAUACUGGCAGACUCAAAUUACAUACUGUUUCUGACCA
RNAcentral lists this long non-coding RNA (3102 nucleotides) under Cricetulus griseus (Chinese hamster). RNAcentral describes it as "lncRNA (ENSCGRG00015034254.1)". The record is from RNAcentral. Lineage: Eukaryota; Metazoa; Chordata; Mammalia; Rodentia; Cricetidae.